UUCCCUUCCCUCCUUCCAUCCUUCCUCCCACCCUCCUGCCUUUCCCUCGUGCCCUCCUACCUUUCACUAUUUAUUCCCCUUUCUAUACCACCUACUCAUGCCCAGGUCCUACACCUUUCCCCUAAAUACAUACACACACACAUAUAUAUACACACAUAUAGAUAUAUAGAUACAUAUAUAUACACACACACAAAAGAACAGGUAUCAUUUGCAUUGUGAAUGGCUGGGCCUUCGAGAGGACUGCUGAGUUCAUGUAGUCCAUGGCUCUGAUUCUGUCCAUCCUAGAUGUCUCCCAGGGCAGGAGGGCUGUGGUGCUAUUGGCUGGUUGCAGCAUCGGAAGCUCAGGACUGGUGUAUCUGGAGCCAUCCAUCCUCAUUGGCUAUGGGACUUAUGGCACACAGUGCCAGUGUCAUUCAGCACCCAAUUCAACAUCACAGACUGUUCUCACUCAAAGUCAAAUCCUCCUGCAUUACCCACAAAAUGCACCAAGGUCCUUGAGCAAAGACAUUCCUAUGGAUGGGUUUGCCUCUGCUUAAGGCAAUGAUCCAAACAGUUUUCCCUAACCCAUUUCUCAUAUGCAUCACAGGAACUUGAUCCCCUUCUCCAGUUUGUGGAUGUUUUGUUUUGGUGGCGACAGCUCAAUUGGUAGAGCCUGGUAGGUGUUCACUGACCAGGUGGCCUUUGCCAAGUGCAGAUCCUAAUGUUCAAAGGUCCCACCACCCAUUGCUUUCAAGUCCAUUGUACCAUUCAGCUUUCCCAGGGCUGGUGCACGGCAGGGAAUGUGGUACAUCCACUCAACGCUGUGCUCUCUGGCCCAGGUGUUCAUGAGGCUGUUUUUAAAGUAAGUCUCAUUGUUUGAAUCAAUUCUUUCAGUUGCCACAGGGCUUGUUUUUCAGGGGUCCAUGUGGUGUUCCAGGCAGUGGCAUAAUGCACGGGGAUGGGUCUCCAGCCAUCCAGUCGUGCCUUCUACCACUGUCAGCAUGCAACUCUUGCUGUGGAGAGGUUGUGGCAGUGUGAUGCAAUUGAUCUGCCAGGCCUCCCCAGAUUUAUAUUUCGACCAUCGUCCCCCACAGCACGUUUCACAGUCAUGGAUUACCCAGGAUAUAGUGUCCAUGAUUAAGUCCACCCCUCAGUCACGAUGCUGUGUGAUACAUCUCUCUCCUCCCUGAUGACCUCAGAUGCCUAAGGGGCCCACUGAGUCAAAAACAACUCACCCUUGUGUGGCCAGUCCUGACCUACCUGAGACACUAAUCCUGGCAGCCCCAUCCCUGUCCACUCUUGUGAUGCUCUUCACUAGCCGACUCCUGGGUACCUGAACAUCCGCAGGAUGGACUUUCACAGCCAACUUCUUUACCCUGGCAGCGAUAUCUUGCCACAAUUCAAUAACCCAGAUGGGUUUCCCUCUGCGCUGCCACUUGGUCUUUUUCCAUUGUCUAGCCACUUCCACAGAGCAUUUGCUGCUAUGCACGAGUCAGUGGCCAUUUCUCUCAUUCAGCGAUAUCCAGCAAUAUCCAAAGCCAGCUGGACGGCUGAAAGCUGCUUUCAGCUCUGCAGCCUGACUUGAUCCACCCACCUUGUCUCUCAGUAACUUCUGUGUCUCAUCACACAGGACUUCACAGGGCUGCUUUCUGUUUUCUGAUGUAUCCCUACAAUAUCCUCUCCUGAGGUGAGCCCUGCAAAGUAUACAUGGGACCACUGGGCCAGUCACAAUGAGGUGGUUUUGCCUUUCAUUCCCAGUUGGUCAGCUGUUGGGAUUCCCUAGAGAUGGAUUCUACCCCUUCAGAUAUUGAUGUCAUCUGGGUACAUUGGUGCUGGUGUCAAAUAAAGCCUUAGACUCUUGUGGUUCUGCUGUACUAGCCAUCAGAUCCGCAUUCCCCAAUAGAUCCGAUGGUCCCUUUCCUCCACCUGACUGGAGCCAGGGCCCCUUUAGUUCCGGUCACAGUACUCGUUGCUCACUUCUUGUAAAUAUCACCUGGAGGUCCUUCAAGAUGAUCAGAAGUGAAAUCAGCCCUUCUCUUCUAUCUGAGGACUUACCCACUGGAAACUGGAGCAGAUUUAUCCUUGGUGAGCUUUCUUUGGUGGUGUUCUUCUUCUCAACUCACCUGUGCUGCUGGGGCAGAGAUGGGUUUUCAAUCCCACUUCCUCAUGUCUUCUCCAUGGUCACACAGUUAAAACCACAGGUUACUUCAUAGUGUGUCCCCUCUCCUGAGCAGGAUUUUGGCUGCUCCCAAUAGCAGAGACUCUGGUCCAUACUGGCAGGACAUGGGACAUUUCCUCUCUAGUUUGCUUGAGUCUUUCAAAUCUGUCUGUAGUUUUGGACAUUUUUUCCACAGCCAAUGCAUAGGUUGGUAGGGAGAAGAAAAGAUGAUCUUCAUAUUGCCAAAGCUGGGUAGUCACCUGCAGCACUGUGUGCUUUCCUUCUUUCAUUGAUGUCACUGCCAGUGAUGGUAUACAACAACGGUGUGCUUCAAAAAAACUUCUGCCACAUGGACUGUGUGCCCUGGACCUCAUCUGGAUCUUCCUCCUGUUGUAAGGACGCUGCUUCCUCUUCAUCCCUCACUCAGCAAACUGAUGUGGUUUUGAAUUUCUUCUGUAAAGCAGCAACUGCUCGCAGCACAUGUUGUUCCUCUGGUUCAGCUGCAAUUGGACUGCCCAAGGUGCCUCUUGCUCUGCUUUCCUCCUCCUCCUCCCCCUGAGGGUGCUGUCCAGUGAUGAACAGUGGCUGGUAAAUAGUAGCCAGGGCCCAGCACAUUGCAUAACUUUGUGCCUCUCUGAAGUCAGUCACUGCAGCAUUUUUCUUCCCCAUAUUUUAUCACUUUACCAGGGUCCUGUAGUUGUUCAGAGGUGAAUUUCCAAACUAUUGGAGAAGAUAAAUCCUCCAAACACUGGCCCAUGUCCUCCCACAUUUCAUACCACUCCUGACUAUCCUCCCUCAGUGAAGAUCUCUGAAUGACCUUUCUGAAAAUUUCUUUUUGUGAAGAAGAAACCCGUGACUACCUUGAGCUAUGGCUGACUUGUUGCUCCUCUAAAUCUCAUUACUUCAGACUGACAUCUUACCUGGCUACUUGAGCAAUAAAUCAUCUCAAAGCA
This is a long non-coding RNA of Parus major (Great Tit), 3090 nucleotides long. RefSeq lists it as uncharacterized. The transcript has 2 exons. NCBI's taxonomy places the organism in Eukaryota, Metazoa, Chordata, Aves, Passeriformes, Paridae. The record is from RefSeq and is a predicted model, not a curated record.